UUUUUUUUUUAUUUAUAAUAUCUUGUAGAUUAUAUUUGCCUAGCUAGGAGUGCUCAAGCAUGUUCUUCUUGUUUCUUUUGCAACAGAGUGAAGUCUUAUAGGGACACCACUUCAAUUCAAUAGUCAUGUCAAGAAGGCAAGUGAAUUCCACUCGGCGGUUUACAAGCAGUGGAAUCUCUCCAUUUAGUGGACUUUCUCAUUCAAAAUCGCCUGUUUCUCCUCUAUUACCUGUUGUUCUUGUUUUUCUGGUACAAAAUAUGCUUUAUUUAUUUCUUUCUACUUUAUUAUUUUUUUAUGAGGUUAUAUCUACUUGUGCCCUUUUCAUGUCAACACCGGCCUGCGACUACUAGUCUUCCCCUCUCCUCCCCUCCAAAAAAAAUAUAGAAUACAACAUUCAUGUUAUGGUCUUCAGCAUGUAAAACCAUACAUCAUCCUGAAAUUUCAUUUUCCAAUUGACUGUUUGUUCCUUUCUGAUAAUCAGGGUGCAAUAUUUUUCAUUGGCUACUUUUAUAGAGGCUCAGGUAUGUUUUUGAUUUGUUGAAAGAUGGAAUAUUGGUACUGAUAGUCUUUCAUUUUCUAGACCAAAGCUAUUGAUAUUAGGUGUCAAACUCUUCGAG
Molecule: long non-coding RNA, 617 nt
Filed under: Panax ginseng (ginseng)
Lineage: Eukaryota; Viridiplantae; Streptophyta; Magnoliopsida; Apiales; Araliaceae
Description: long non-coding RNA (PGIN_LNC017669)
Source: RNAcentral